This 520-nucleotide unclassified non-coding RNA is filed under the name uncultured Glomus. RNAcentral describes it as "bacterial SSU rRNA". It matches the Rfam family "Eukaryotic small subunit ribosomal RNA", at positions 569 to 1089 of the family's 1831-position model. Lineage: Eukaryota; Fungi; Glomeromycota; Glomeromycetes; Glomerales; Glomeraceae. RNAcentral also lists the same sequence under 1 other name. The record is from RNAcentral.
AGCAGCCGCGGUAAUUCCAGCUCCAAUAGCGUAUAUUAAAGUUGUUGCAGUUAAAAAGCUCGUAGUUGAACUUCAGGCCUGUCCAGACGGUCCGCCUUAAUUGGUGUGUACUGUCCUUGGGUGGGUCCUACCUUCUGGCGAAGCGGCAUGGCCUUAAUUGGUUGUGUCGGGGAACCAGGACUUUUACUGUGAAAAAAAUUAGAGUGUUCAAAGCAGGCAAAUAUGCUCGAAUACAUUAGCAUGGAAUAAUGGAAUAGGACGAUGGUUCUAUUUUGUUGGUUCUAGGACCGUUGUAAUGAUUAAUAGGGAUAGUUGGGGGCAUUAGUAUUCAAUUGUCAGAGGUGAAAUUCUUGGAUUUAUUGAAGACUAACUACUGCGAAAGCAUUUGCCAAGGAUGUUUUCAUUAAUCAAGAACGAAAGUUAGGGGAUCGAAGACGAUCAGAUACCGUCGUAGUCUUAACCAUAAACUAUGCCGACUAGGAAUCGGGCGAUGUUGACAAAAUGACUCGCUCGGCACCUC